AUGGGGCGGAAGUUUGGAGUCUUGUAUGAUCCUGAUGAUCUACAGAGGGUGAAAUGCAGGUUGUGUGGAAAGGAGAUCAGUAUUAGGAUAAGCAGAUUGAAGCAACAUGUUGGUCAAGUGAAACGUCAAGUAAAAAGUUGCAUGGUGGUGAAGCAGCACAAGGUUGUGGAGGAGCAACUCCACCUUGCUGCUACAAAGUGUACAGCACUAGAGUUGAAGGAACUACUUCAACGUGUUGCGCUAGAUAUCAUUCUAGAGGCGAAUGUAGGCCAAUAUGGCAGCAGGAGUUCAAUCCAGAACUCCUAG
This 306-nucleotide ribosomal RNA is filed under the name Triticum aestivum (bread wheat). RNAcentral's name for it is "partial small subunit ribosomal RNA". Lineage: Eukaryota; Viridiplantae; Streptophyta; Magnoliopsida; Poales; Poaceae. The record is from RNAcentral.